RNAcentral lists this unclassified non-coding RNA (300 nucleotides) under Glomeraceae sp. Its description in RNAcentral is "partial contains 5.8S ribosomal RNA and internal transcribed spacer 2". The record is from RNAcentral. Lineage: Eukaryota; Fungi; Glomeromycota; Glomeromycetes; Glomerales; Glomeraceae.
GUGAAUCAUCAAAUCUUUGAACGCAAAUUGCACUCUCUUCGUAGAGUAUGGCGGUUGGAGGGUCAGGAUUAAUAAAAAUCGGUGUGUUGCUUCUUUGUUACGCUCCGGAGUUGGGGUCGUCUUAUUUUCCUUUAGUUGUUGAUAUGCUUAAAAUUGGCUUUUUUUGCGCAUUUUUGAGGUACAUAAAUUCUUUUUUUUAUUCGUUUGUCUUAAUGCUCAAAUUCCUAUUAGAUGCGACGAUAUCGUUUGGUUUCGUGUCUAUAAAUUUUUCAUGAUUUGACCUCAAAUCAGUUAGGAGUA